This 400-nucleotide ribosomal RNA is filed under the name uncultured bacterium. Its description in RNAcentral is "bacterial SSU rRNA". It matches the Rfam family "Bacterial small subunit ribosomal RNA", at positions 355 to 747 of the family's 1533-position model. The record is from RNAcentral.
UGGGGAAUAUUGGACAAUGGGCGCAAGCCUGAUCCAGCAAUGCCGCGUGUGUGAAGAAGGCCCUAGGGUUGUAAAGCACUUUCAGUUGGGAGGAAGGGGCUAUAGCUAAUAUCUAUAGUCAUUGACGCUACCAACAGAAGAAGCACCGGCUAACUCUGUGCCAGCAGCCGCGGUAAUACAGAGGGUGCGAGCGUUAAUCGGAAUUACUGGGCGUAAAGGGUGCGUAGGCGGUUAGAUAAGUUAGAUGUGAAAUCCCUAGGCUUAACCUGGGAGCUGCGUUUAAUACUGUAGAACUAGAGUACUGAAGAGGUUAGUGGAAUUUCCAGUGUAGCGGUGAAAUGCGUAGAUAUUGGAAGGAACACCAGUGGCGAAGGCGACUAGCUGGUCAGAUACUGACGCU